AACGUAGGAGACAAACGUUAUCCGGAGUUACUGGGCGUAAAGGGCGUGUAGGUGGUUUUGUAAGUCUGGCGUGAAAUUUUUCGGCUUAACCGGGAAAGGUCGUCGGAUACUGCAAGGCUAGAGGACGGUAGAGGCGUGUGGAAUUCCGGGUGUAGUGGUGAAAUGCGUAGAGAUCGGAGGAACACCAGUGGCGAAGGCGCACGCUGGGCCGUACCUGACACUGAUGCGCGACAGCAUGGGGAGCAAACAGG
Molecule: ribosomal RNA, 251 nt
Filed under: uncultured bacterium
Lineage: Bacteria
Description: partial 16S ribosomal RNA
Rfam family: Bacterial small subunit ribosomal RNA
Source: RNAcentral